GAUGAACGCUAGCGGCAGGCUUAAUACAUGCAAGACGAACGGUAAGUUUGGUAGCAAUACUAGACCUAGAGUGUCGUACGGGUGCGUAACACGUAUGCAACCUACCUUGUACAGGAGUAUAGCUCGGGGAAACUCGAAUUAACCCUCCAUAAUGUAGCGGAGAGGCAUCUCUCUGCUACUAAAACUGAGGUGGUACAAGAUGGGCAUGCGAUUGAUUAGUUAGUUGGCAGUGUAACGGACUACCAAGACGAUGAUCAAUAGGGGACCUGAGAGGGUGAUCCCCCACACUGGCACUGAGAUACGGGCCAGACUCCUACGGGAGGCAGCAGUAGGGAAUAUUGGACAAUGGGUGAGAGCCUGAUCCAGCCAUGCCGCGUGCAGGAAGAAGGCGUUAUGCGUUGUAAACUGCUUUUGCCAGGGGAUAAAAAGACCGUGCGCGGUUAAUUGAAGGUACCUGGUGAAUAAGCCACGGCUAACUACGUGC
RNAcentral lists this ribosomal RNA (484 nucleotides) under uncultured bacterium. RNAcentral's name for it is "bacterial SSU rRNA". It matches the Rfam family "Bacterial small subunit ribosomal RNA", at positions 28 to 508 of the family's 1533-position model. The record is from RNAcentral.